Molecule: transfer RNA, 74 nt
Filed under: Stegodyphus mimosarum
Lineage: Eukaryota; Metazoa; Arthropoda; Arachnida; Araneae; Eresidae
Rfam family: tRNA
About the family: Transfer RNA (tRNA) molecules are approximately 80 nucleotides in length.
Source: Rfam by way of RNAcentral
GCCUUCGUGGUGUAAUGGUCAGCACACUCGGCGCGUAUUCGAGAGGUCCAAGGUUCGAGUCCCCGUCGAGGGCA